RNAcentral lists this ribosomal RNA (465 nucleotides) under uncultured bacterium. RNAcentral describes it as "partial 16S ribosomal RNA". It matches the Rfam family "Bacterial small subunit ribosomal RNA", at positions 28 to 507 of the family's 1533-position model. The record is from RNAcentral.
GACGAACGCUGGCGGCGUGCUUAACACAUGCAAGUCGAACGGAAAGGCCCCUUUGGGGGUACUCGAGUGGCGAACGGGUGAGUAACACGUGAGUAACCUGCCCUUGACUUCGGGAUAACUUCAGGAAACUGGGGCUAAUACCGGAUAGGAAUCCUUGCUGCAUGGUGGGGGUUGGAAAGCUUCGGCGGUUUUGGAUGGACUCGCGGCUUAUCAGCUUGUUGGUGGGGUAGUGGCUUACCAAGGCUUUGACGGGUAGCCGGCCUGAGUGGGCGACCGGCCACAUUGGGACUGAGAUACGGCCCAGACUCCUACGGGAGGCAGCAGUGGGGAAUAUUGCACAAUGGGCGGAAGCCUGAUGCAGCAACGCCGCGUGCGGGAUGACGGCCUUCGGGUUGUAAACCGCUUUCAGCAGGGGCGAAGCUUGUGGUGACGGUACCUGCAGAAGAAGCACCGGCUAACUACGUG